AGCUAAAAUGGCGGAGGUUGGGAGUCCCUGCUUUGACUCUGUUUGCAAACUCUUGUUUCAUCGUUUAAGCGAUUAAAUCUCUCGAGUAGACGCUGUCUCUUUAGAUGCGAGGGCAAAAUAGCACUUUUUGGACUUCCACAGAGGACAUCAUGUUUAAUACGGUUCAGGAAAAAUCCAGUCAGAAGUUGUUCACGGAGUUUUCACAAUAACUGCUUCUCAUGAACCGAAGCUGGAUUUGCGCGACGUCUCCUCCUGAAAGUUGGAUUACUGUGCACUUCUGGAUCACAGGCUAUUCGCAGCUGGACACAUCCUUCUACACUGUAUGCAAACAUGCAACAUCAUUACACACAGUACAAGGAGUCAGACUGGCAUAUGAGGAGCAAAGGAACCCAGGCAGUAGCAUCGUUUCACAAUGUUUCCAUCACCAUCAUCAGUGGAUGCCUUUGCCGUCCGUAGCCUGAGAUUUCAGAUUUGCAGCAAAAAAUUAGAUUUUCUCAUUUAUUGGAAUGCUGUGCAGGUUGUACCUUGCAGCCAUCCAUUACAAUGUCACCAAGCCGUAACAAAAGCAGGAGAGGGAAAGUACAAGGCUAUGUUCCCAAAACACACAAGUGACAUACCGUAAGCAGUA
Long non-coding RNA from Paramisgurnus dabryanus, 628 nucleotides. RefSeq lists it as uncharacterized. NCBI's taxonomy places the organism in Eukaryota, Metazoa, Chordata, Actinopteri, Cypriniformes, Cobitidae. The record is from RefSeq and is a predicted model, not a curated record.